CUGAUUUAUUCUUGCUGCAUUAUAAUAGAAGCCAUCAUAUAUUUUCUGACAUAUUGAAAUUACUGGGGGACCAUUACCCUUUACCAGUGGGGCAAUUUAAUUUCUCCAUAUCUUUGUUCAGAUGCACCUAAGAUUCUUGGACUUUAUAACACAGACUCUAACAUGCAUUUCAUAGGCAAUGUGAAAGUGGCAUCAGGAAUUUUGGAGAGGACUGGGUGUAAUUGCACAGCUGUAAUUGCACCAUCAAACACAGCCCUUUUCUCCAAAAGAGGCAAUCCUGCAUGCUUGAUGACAGGGAGUGAUGUACAUGGUGACAAGAACUAAUAAAACAUUUGCCUAAAUUCUAUUUUGGGGUUUGUUUUUCAGACUUGAGGCCCAUCAGGAGGCUAAAGAUGAGCAUCAAACAAGCAUCAGCUAAUGCUUUAGUCAAUCCUUGUGUGUUCCAGUCCUGGGUGAGUCCCAGUGCUGGGGUCCUUUCAGCCAGGUGUUUCUCUUUUGGAAUCCCAAAUGCAGGCUGAGCCCUGGUGAUGCAGGUAACAGCAGCGAGCAGUUUUGCAUUAGUUAAUGAACUACAUAUAGUUGUCAAAGGGUAUCAUGUGUUUGCAGCUGGGGCUGCACUCCCACAAGUCUCUGCUGGAAAGAAGCUUCAAGAAAGAGGGAUAAAAGCAGAGCUGUGGGGUGAGAAGGGAAGAGGUAAGGGAUGCAGUUCUGGGGCACUGAUUUACAGCUGUAAAGUGGGUUUGGAAGGAAGGCUGAGAAGAUUGGGGCAUCCAGGAUAUCUUCAGUCUGUGGAGAAGAGCCUUUCCCAGAAUGGAGGUGCUGUAGAAAACACUUUUGUGGGUGUAUUCUUCAAACAGUCCUGACUUCUGCAGAAGAUGUCAAGAAAUCCCCAAGAACACAUGGAACAAGACUGUCCAGGAAGAGGCAAAGGCCAGAAAACCCUCUGCUUUUUCCCAGUCUAUACAUGUUAUGCAGUACUUUCUUUAAGCUCUAUAUUCUAAGGAUUUUGUUCCUUGGCUGGGUGAGGCUCUGAGCACAGUGUGCUCCAAGAUGAUGACAUGGAGCCUUCAGCAGGAAAACUGGCAUGUGGCUUGCAACUGAAAAUGAAGGCAGAUUUUUGACAUUCCAAUUCCAGGUUCAGGGUCCUCUGAUCACUCAGCAGCUUUUAAUUGAGGGAGAGUCUCCACUUUUCAGUGUAAUGCCAAAGAGGAGUGCUGGAUUAAUUUUAUUUAUUAUUCAUUUUAUGGAGUCAUUUUUCCUCACAGUGUAGAAGAAAAUCAAAUGUGGCACUACAAAGGAAGCUGGUGAUGCUGUGUGUUCUGUUAGUUAGAUGGGAGAAGAUGCUGGAGCCAGUAUAAACUGUGUGAGUUAAUGAGUAUAACUACCUGUUUGCAACACUAAUCCUCUGACAGGGCACUCAUGCUACCCUAACAAGCAACCAAGUUGUGAUGAAAAUUGUAAUUUGUGUCCCAAACUUUGCUAGUCAGAGUCACUGGAGCUCUGCAAGGAAGGUCAAACUGCAUGAAUCUUAAUGUGCCAUCUGAAUUCCAGGUAUUAUUUGGAAUGGAAUGAAGAUGUCUGAGGGUAAAGAGUGUAUUGUUCUAAAACAUUUAAUGUGCAAAAGAAAAUGGGCUGUACUCUGCCAUCCUUAAAACAUAAGAGGUAAAAUCCAUAAAUAUAGUAUGGGCAUAAAUAGUGCAUUUUUAUGGGCAAGAACAGUACAUUUCUUAGUCUGUUGCACAGUCAGCCUUUUGGCAUACUAAUUGCUGAAAUCAUAAACAUCCUUAGCUUCAAGCUGCUUGCUGGAGUUAUCCUGCUAAAUCUUUAUAGAGAAAGUUAAAAAGUAAAAAAACCAGCACAAACUAUAGCUACUUCUUCCCCAAUUCUCCUCUAAUGACACUGCUGUUCUAAUAAAGUGAUUAGACUUUCUUACCCCA
Molecule: long non-coding RNA, 1937 nt
Filed under: Cyanistes caeruleus (blue tit)
Lineage: Eukaryota; Metazoa; Chordata; Aves; Passeriformes; Paridae
Description: lncRNA (ENSCCEG00000007272.1)
Source: RNAcentral